CCUGAAAGGGCGGGGUGCCUCGCAAGAGGAGCCGCAAGACAGGUGUUGCAUGGCUGUCGUCAGCUCGUGUCGUGAGAUGUUGGGUUAAGUCCCGCAACGAGCGCAACCCUCACCGGAUGUUGCCAGCGUCAAGUCGGGCACUCUUCCGGAACUGCCCGGGUAACCGGGAGGAAGGUGGGGACGACGUCAAGUCAGCAUGGCCCGUACGCCUGGGGCUUCACACAUGCUACAAUGGCCGGUACAGAGGGUCCCAAGCCCGCGAGGGGGAGGCAAUCCCAAAAAGCCGGUCUCAGUUCGGAUCGCAGGCUGCAACUCGCCUGCGUGAAGGUGGAAUCGCUAGUAACCGCCGGUCAGCUAAACGGCGGUGAAUACGUUCCCGGGCCUUGUACACACCGCCCGUCACGUCACCUGAGUCUG
Molecule: ribosomal RNA, 417 nt
Filed under: uncultured bacterium
Lineage: Bacteria
Description: bacterial SSU rRNA
Rfam family: Bacterial small subunit ribosomal RNA
Source: RNAcentral